Long non-coding RNA from Marmota monax (woodchuck), 1025 nucleotides. RefSeq lists it as uncharacterized. The transcript is spliced from 2 exons. The record is from RefSeq and is a predicted model, not a curated record. NCBI's taxonomy places the organism in Eukaryota, Metazoa, Chordata, Mammalia, Rodentia, Sciuridae.
CUUGCCCACACAGCAGGUCCUGGGCCCGUUUUCUCUCCCAGGUCCUGCAGAUGGCAUGCCUUUGGCUCAUAAAACAUACCUUCCAUAACACUGGACCUGGCUGGAGCCUUCCCGGGUCAGCCUUACCCUGCAAAUCAACUACAGAAGAGCUUCUCCCUCCCUCUCCAAAUACGGAAAGAAAGAGAGAAAAGCCAACGCCCCUGGAGGCCCGUGGUGCUGGCCUCCCGCAGGGUCCUGGGAAGGGCGUCUGUAGCUCCUUCCCCUUCACAGGGACAGUGGGGAGCAUAGCGGCCGCUGGCAGGCGGUGAGGUCCCCGUGCUCACAUCCAGGGUGCUGCAGCCUCUGGUGGCCCUGGCACCGCCCUGCCACCUUGCCCAUCUGCCCCGCCAUGGGCCCCAGGUGGAACUUGAGCUUUGGCCCGCACUGGGCAGGAGAAGGAAAACUAAGGAAACCAGAACUGCCUUUGUCUUCCGUGAGUGGGGCCUCCCUGUGCGGCAGACCAGGCAGAGACAGGCAAUCCAGCAGCAACUCGGCAAAGCCAGGGCCCUGCUCGGCCAGGCCCUGGCCCUCCGGGUACUUCCUUCAACGUCCCUCACCCUGCGGGUCGAAGUGCUGACCAUGAAACCUGCUGAUCAGGAAGCAAAACAGAAAGCACUGGAAACCUGGCUCCCGGUGGUCCCUUGCCACUGCUCCUGUAAAGUCCCCUCAGGCCCACAUGGCACCACAUGAAUCAUUGACACCUGGGCUUCCUCUCCGGCCACUUGAGGGUCAAAUAGGACAGACCUGGGUGUCACUGGAUGCACCCCUGUGCUCCUCCGUUCCUCCUGCCCUCCUCAUUGCUCCUUUUGGGUCUCGAUGCUUGACCCUCCUGACACCUGGCUCUGGACUCUGUGUGUCCCCUUCAGCACAGGCGUGGUCUCUCUCCGUCCCUCUGCUUUGUGUUUCCCCGUCCCUAUCACUACUCCCCCAUCCUCAGUUCUCUGUAUAAAUAAAUUCAAGAAAUUAAAUAAAAUGAUAUUUCAGAA